CUGCAGCCCGAGUGGGAACCAGCUUUAUUUGGUCUAAAGCGUCCGUAGCCGGACUUGUGAAUUCUCUGUGAAAUCGGUCAGCUUAACUGAUCGGCGUGCAGGGAACACUGCAAGUCUUGGGACUGGGAGAGGUCAGAAGUAUGUCAGGGGUAGCGGUAAAAUGUUAUAAUCCCUGAUGGACUACCUAUGGCGAAGGCAUCUGACCAGAACAGAUCCGACGGUGAGGGAUGAAAGCUGGGGGAGCAAACCGGAUUAGAUACCCGAGUAGUCC
This 271-nucleotide ribosomal RNA is filed under the name uncultured archaeon. Its description in RNAcentral is "partial 16S ribosomal RNA". It matches the Rfam family "Archaeal small subunit ribosomal RNA", at positions 477 to 747 of the family's 1478-position model. The record is from RNAcentral.